AGAGUUUGAUCCUGGCUCGAGGACGAACGCUGGCGGCGUGCUUAACACAUGCAAGUCGAACGAGGCUUAGGGAAGAGCUUGCUCAGAACUAAGCCGAGUGGCGGACGGGUGAGUAACGCGUGAAUAAUCUGUCCUAUACAGGGGGAUAACGCAUCGAAAGAUGUGCUAAUACCGCGUAGGACCACAGCAUCGCAUGGUGCAGGGGUGAAAGGAGUAAUCCAGUAUAGGGUGAGUUCGCGUCUGAUUAGAUAGUUGGUGAGGUAACGGCCCACCAAGUCAACGAUCAGUAGCCGACCUGAGAGGGUGAUCGGCCACAUUGGGACUGAGACACGGCCCAGACUCC
This 343-nucleotide ribosomal RNA is filed under the name uncultured Coriobacteriales bacterium. RNAcentral's name for it is "bacterial SSU rRNA". It matches the Rfam family "Bacterial small subunit ribosomal RNA", at positions 8 to 339 of the family's 1533-position model. The record is from RNAcentral. Lineage: Bacteria; Bacillati; Actinomycetota; Coriobacteriia; Coriobacteriales.